Molecule: RNA transcript, 1522 nt
Organism: Salvia splendens (bonfire salvia)
Lineage: Eukaryota; Viridiplantae; Streptophyta; Magnoliopsida; Lamiales; Lamiaceae
Gene name: protein ENHANCED DISEASE RESISTANCE 2-like
Exons: 3
Source: RefSeq, a predicted model, not a curated record
GCCCCCAAAAUCCUUCAGUAGUGUGUGUGUGUGAUAUUGUCACGGCGACGUCUAGAGAGAGAAAAACCCUCGCCGGAAAAUUGAAAAACAAUGUGCUCUACAAAGCACACGCAGAAGCACCAAAACAGCCACAAUCACCCCCGCACCUCCCCCUCCACCGCGGCCGUUGUCACCGGGGAGGAUUGGAGAGAUGAGGCCGUCACCACCGGAUCGCUGAAGCACGUCGACCUCAACACCGGAUCCAACGGCUGGGCGUCGCCGCCAGGGGACCUAUUCUCCGUCCGAGGCCCGAAUUACCUGACGAAGAAGGGCAAGAACCCCGCCGGUGAGUGGCUGAUGAAUCCGGCCGGCGUCGACUGGCUCAGAUCCAGCGGCAAACUCGAUCACGUCCUGGCGCGGCCGGACAACCGCGUGAUGAACGCGCUGCGCGCCUCGAGGUGCGAGAAAUCGUCGAAGACGUUCAUCAUCGCGAUCAAUCUCCAAGUCCCCGGGCGCGAGCAUCACUCGGCGGUUUUCUACUUUUCCAGCAAGGUCGACGAGCCGAUUGGGUCGAAUUCGCUGCUGUAUCAGUUCAUCAACGGCUCCGAUGCCUUCCGCAGCAGUCGAUUUAAGAUUGUGAAUAAAAUCGUGAAAGGACCGUGGAUUGUGAAAACGACGGUGGGGAAUUACUCGGCGUGUUUGUUAGGGAAGGCGUUGAAUUGCUACUACCACCGCGGACCUAAUUAUUUGGAAAUCGAUGUCGAUAUCGGUAGCUCCGCCAUCGCCUCCGCGAUUUUGAAGCUGGCGUUGGGUUGCGUGACGGCGGUGACGAUCGAUAUGGGCUUUUUGGUUGAGGGACAAAAGGAGGAAGAGCUGCCUGAGCGGUUAUUCGGUGCCGUGAGGAUUUGUCAAAUGGAGAUGAGCUCAGCCACGUUUGUUGAGAGCGCAAUCGCAACAAGCAAGGUUUUGCCGAUGAGUAGUGGCGGUGAAAGCGAAAAUGAGGAUGAUUAAAUGAUUAAAUCCUUAGCCGUUGGGAAGCUAGUUUGCAGAACAAUGAAGAAAGGGAUAGGGCUACAUUUUUCUCUGGCCAUCCAUCCAAAAGAGAUUUUUGUCAGCACGCUAAUCAUGACCGCUGCUGAAAUGAGCAAAUGCAAGGAAAAAGAGGAGGGCCCUCUCCAUUGGCACCCCACCCCAGUGCCACACUCCUCUCCCCCUCCCGUGGGGUGCCUCGUGCCGCACCGGAACUUGUGCUGCGAUGCGAUACCCCCGCCCCUCCCCUCCCCUCACUUGUUAGGCUAUCUGCCAAAUUUUGAAAAACCAGAGACAUGUUUAGAACGACGAAACGUGCGAAACACUGGUAAGUUUUGCGUUGUACAAUCUGAAUUGAACAUCUUGGCAUCAUAAAUUUAAUGCGUUUUUCUGCAAUGUACAACCACAAUCAUAUUCACACGUUAUGGAAACUACUUGCAACGCUACUUGCUAAACAUUGAAAAGUGUAGUACUCCUAUAAUUUGUAAUUGAACAUCUUGCACCACAAAUUUAA